RNAcentral lists this ribosomal RNA (477 nucleotides) under Candidatus Scalindua brodae. RNAcentral's name for it is "bacterial SSU rRNA". It matches the Rfam family "Bacterial small subunit ribosomal RNA", at positions 365 to 832 of the family's 1533-position model. RNAcentral also lists the same sequence under 1 other name. Lineage: Bacteria; Pseudomonadati; Planctomycetota; Candidatus Brocadiia; Candidatus Brocadiales; Candidatus Scalinduaceae. The record is from RNAcentral.
UUCGCAAUGCCCGAAAGGGUGACGAAGCGACGCCGCGUGGGUGAGGAAGGCCUUCGGGUUGUAAAGCCCUGUCAGGAGUUAAGAAAUGUAAGUGUGCUAAUAUCGCAUUUACUUGACGAAGGCUCCAAAGGAAGUCACGGCUAACUCUGUGCCAGCAGCCGCGGUAAUACAGAGGUGGCAAGCGUUGUUCGGAAUUAUUGGGCGUAAAGAGCACGUAGGUGGGUUUGUAAGUCAGAUGUGAAAGCCUCCUGUUCAACGGGAGAAUUGCAUCUGAAACUACUGAUCUUGAGUAUAGGAGGGGAGAAUGGAACUUCUGGUGGAGCGGUGAGAUGCGUAGAUAUCAGAAGGAACGCCGGCGGCGAAAGCGAUUCUCUGGCCUAUUACUGACACUCAGUGUGCGAAAGCUAGGGGAGCAAACGGGAUUAGAUACCCCGGUAGUCCUAGCCGUAAACGAGGGGCACUAAGUAGAGGGGUUUU